AAAAAGAAAAAUGUGCAAAGUAUUUUACCAGAUGCUUCACAAAAGAAUACAUAUGAAUGGCCAGGAAACCUAUGUCAAGAUGCUCAACAUCUUUAGUCGUUAGGGAAAUGCAAGUCAAAACCAUGAGGAGAUAGCACUUCACAUCCAGUAGCAUGACUAAGACAAAAAAGAUAGUAACAAAUGUUAAUGAGGAUUGGAGAGAUUAGAACCCUCUUACAUCACUGGUGGGUAUAAAAUAUUACAGCCACUUUGGAAAACAGUUUACCAUGUCUUCACAAUGCUAAACAGGGCUGGCCCCGUGGCCAAGCGGUUAAGUUCAUGCGCUCCGCUUCAGCGGCCCAGGGUUUCGCUGUUUUGGAUCCUGGGCACAGACGUGGCACUGCUCAUCAAGCCAUGCUGAGGUGGCGUCCCACAUGCCACAACUCGAAGGACCCACAACUAAAAUAUACGACUGUGUACCAGGGGGCUUUGGGGAGAAAGAGGAAAAAUAAAAUCUUUAAAAAAAAAUGCUAAACAUACGGUUACCAUGUGAGCCAUCAGUUCCAUUCCUAGGUAUAUACCCAAGAGAAUUGAAAACAUGUCCAUACAAAAACAUGCCCACGAAUGUUCAGCAUUAUUCAUAGUAGCCUGAGACUGGAACAAACACAAAUAUAAUGAACACAACAGAUACCAUGUAUAAUAAUUCACAAAAUGUGAAUGGAUAGACAAAUUGUAGUAUUUCCAUAUAAUGGAGCAAUAAAAGGUAAUAAACUAAUGAUAUACCCAACAGCUUGGUUAAAUCUCAAAAACAUUCUAAGUAAAAGAAGUCAGACACAAAAGAGUACACACUGUGUGACUCCCAUUUAUAAAACUUUAGAAAACGUAAUCUAUAAUGACCACUGAUGAAUCUGUGGUUGCCUGUGGCUAAGGGUUGGAGAGCAACUGACUGAAAAUAGGGCCAUAGGGAACUAUUGGAAUGAUCUGUAUUGUGUUUGUGGUGAUGGUUCCAUGACUAUUCUUUUGUUAAAGUCAUCAAACUAUACAGUUGAAAUGGAU
RNAcentral lists this long non-coding RNA (1035 nucleotides) under Equus caballus (horse). Its description in RNAcentral is "lncRNA (ENSECAG00000046537.1)". Lineage: Eukaryota; Metazoa; Chordata; Mammalia; Perissodactyla; Equidae. The record is from RNAcentral.